Molecule: ribosomal RNA, 528 nt
Filed under: uncultured bacterium
Lineage: Bacteria
Description: bacterial SSU rRNA
Rfam family: Bacterial small subunit ribosomal RNA
Source: RNAcentral
AGAGUUUGAUCCUGGCUUAGGAUGAACGCUGGCGGCGUGCCUAAUACAUGCAAGUCGAGCGAACAGAUAAGGAGCUUGCUCCUUUGACGUUAGCGGCGGACGGGUGAGUAACACGUGGGUAACCUACCUAUAAGACUGGAAUAACUCCGGGAAACCGGGGCUAAUGCCGGAUAAUAUUUAGAACCGCAUGGUUCUAAAGUGAAAGAUGGUUUUGCUAUCACUUAUAGAUGGACCCGCGCCGUAUUAGCUAGUUGGUGGGGUAAUGGCUUACCAAGGCAACGAUACGUAGCCGACCUGAGAGGGUGAUCGGCCACACUGGAACUGAGACACGGUCCAGACUCCUACGGGAGGCAGCAGUAGGGAAUCUUCCGCAAUGGGCGAAAGCCUGACGGAGCAACGCCGCGUGAGUGAUGAAGGUCUUCGGAUCGUAAAACUCUGUUAUUAGGGAAGAACAAAUGUGUAAGUAACUGUGCACGUCUUGACGGUACCUAAUCAGAAAGCCACGGCUAACUACGUGCCAGCAGCCGC